UCACAUUAGGAAACCUUCUUAAAAAUAAAGCUGUUUUAGCAGGAAAGGCCAAGGAGAAGCCCUGAAGCUGUCCUCUCCCUACCCCUGCCAAUAAACUACACACCAUUCAUAAAGCAGCUCUUAGAAUGUCCUGGGACAUGGGAGAGACUAAGCAUCUGAGCAUGGGACAUCAAGUGACUAUAUAUCCAGGUUUGCCCAUCAUGAGCUGGGAGAUUGUCAGACUCUUCCAUUCACAAGCCUUGGAAUUUCUGAGCCCAGGCGGAAACCCCAGAGACCUGAAUUAGCCUUCACUGAAUGUAGAGGAAUAAUGGCCUCUUCCAACAUGUCCACGCCCUGAUUUCAGAACCUGUGUAUAUGUUACCUUACGUGGCAGAAGGGACUUUGAAGAUGUGGUUAAAGUUAAAGAUCUUGAGAUGGGGAGAGUAGCCUGGGUUAUCCAAGUGGGCCCAAUCUAAUAAAAUGGACCUUAGAAGCAGAAAAUGUUUCCCAGUUGUGAUUAGGGAGACAGUAGAAGAAGGAGGAAAGAUUGGAAGUGUGAAAGGACAAACCCACUCUUGCUGGCUUUGAAGAUGGAGGAGGGGACCAUUACCAAGAAAUGUGUCUCUUCUAGAAGUCUUCUAGAAAUGUGACUUCUUCUAGAAGUCAGGAAUGGCCCUCAGCUGACAGCUGGCAAGAGAAUGGGAAUCUCAGCCUUACAAGGAACUGAAUUAUGCCAACAACCCGCAUGAGUCAGAAAACGGAUCUUGCCUUGGACCCUCCAUAAAGGGUCCCUGGCAACACUUUGAUUUUAUCCUAGAGAGAUUGUAUUGGACUUGAGACUU
Molecule: long non-coding RNA, 821 nt
Filed under: Equus asinus (donkey)
Lineage: Eukaryota; Metazoa; Chordata; Mammalia; Perissodactyla; Equidae
Description: lncRNA (ENSEASG00005028063.1)
Source: RNAcentral